GAUGAACGCUGGCGGCGUGCCUAAUACAUGCAAGUCGAGCGAACAGACGAGGAGCUUGCUCCUCUGACGUUAGCGGCGGACGGGUGAGUAACACGUGGAUAACCUACCUAUAAGACUGGGAUAACUUCGGGAAACCGGAGCUAAUACCGGAUAAUAUAUUGAACCGCAUGGUUCAAUAGUGAAAGACGGUUUUGCUGUAAUUUAUAGAUAGAUCCGCGCCGCAUUAGCUAGUUGGUAAGGUAACGGCUUACCAAGGCAACGAUGAGUAGCCGACCUGAGAGGGUGAUCGGCCACACUGGAACUGAGACACGGUCCAGACUCCUACGGGAGGCAGCAGUAGGGAAUCUUCCGCAAUGGGCGAAAGCCUGACGGAGCAACGCCGCGUGAGUGAUGAAGGUCUUCGGAUCGUAAAACUCUGUUAUUAGGGAAGAACAAAUGUGUAAGUAACUAUGCACGUCUUGACGGUACCUAAUCAGAAAGCCACGGCUAACUACGUG
This 497-nucleotide ribosomal RNA is filed under the name uncultured bacterium. Its description in RNAcentral is "partial 16S ribosomal RNA". It matches the Rfam family "Bacterial small subunit ribosomal RNA", at positions 28 to 507 of the family's 1533-position model. The record is from RNAcentral.